CCCUUAGAUGUUCUGGGCUGCACGCGCGCUACACUGACGCACGCAACAGGUGCCUGCUCCGAGAGGACUGGGUAAUCAUUUGAGUGUGCGUCGUGAUGGGGAUAGAAUAUUGUAAUUAUUACUCUUCAACGAGGAGUUCCUAGUAAGCGCCAGUCAGCAGCUUGCGCUGAUUACGUCCCUGCCCUUUGUACACACCGCCCGUCGCUCCUACCGAUGGGUGAUCCGGUGAAUGAUUCGGACUUCAGCGGCUCCCCUGGGGUGCGCCGGAGAAAGUUUUGUGAACCUUAUCACUUGGAGGAAGGAGAAGUCGUAACA
This 315-nucleotide ribosomal RNA is filed under the name uncultured eukaryote. Its description in RNAcentral is "partial 18S ribosomal RNA". It matches the Rfam family "Eukaryotic small subunit ribosomal RNA", at positions 1470 to 1796 of the family's 1831-position model. The record is from RNAcentral.